AUUGAACGCUGGCGGCAGGCUUAACACAUGCAAGUCGAGCGGAGAGAGGUAGCUUGCUACUGAUCUUAGCGGCGGACGGGUGAGUAAUGCUUAGGAAUCUGCCUAUUAGUGGGGGACAACAUUUCGAAAGGAAUGCUAAUACCGCAUACGUCCUACGGGAGAAAGCAGGGGAUCUUCGGACCUUGCGCUAAUAGAUGAGCCUAAGUCGGAUUAGCUAGUUGGUGGGGUAAAGGCCUACCAAGGCGACGAUCUGUAGCGGGUCUGAGAGGGUGAUCCGCCACACUGGGACUGAAACACGGCCCAGACUCCUACGGGAGGCAGCAGUGGGGAAUAUUGGACAAUGGGCGGAAGCCUGAUCCAGCCAUGCCGCGUGUGUGAAGAAGGCCUUAUGGUUGUAAAGCACUUUAAGCGAGGAGGAGGCUACUUUAGUUAAUACCUAGAGAUAGUGGACGUUACUCGCAGAAUAAGCACCGGCUAACUCUGUGCCAGCCGCCGCGGUAA
Molecule: ribosomal RNA, 501 nt
Filed under: uncultured bacterium
Lineage: Bacteria
Description: partial 16S ribosomal RNA
Rfam family: Bacterial small subunit ribosomal RNA
Source: RNAcentral